Molecule: ribosomal RNA, 444 nt
Filed under: uncultured bacterium
Lineage: Bacteria
Description: partial 16S ribosomal RNA
Rfam family: Bacterial small subunit ribosomal RNA
Source: RNAcentral
GUAGGGAAUAUUGGGCAAUGGUCGGAAGACUGACCCAGCCAUGCCGCGUGCAGGAAGACGGCCCUCUGGGUUGUAAACUGCUUUUAUCUGGGAAGAAAAAGGCCAUGCGUGGCAAAUUGCCGGUACCAGAUGAAUAAGCACCGGCUAACUCCGUGCCAGCAGCCGCGGUAAUACGGAGGGUGCAAGCGUUGUCCGGAUUUAUUGGGUUUAAAGGGUGCGUAGGCGGCUGAUUAAGUCAGCGGUGAAAGACUCCGGCUUAACCGGAGCAGUGCCGUUGAUACUGGUUAGCGUGAGUGUUGGAGGGGUACAUGGAAUUGAUUGUGUAGCGGUGAAAUGCAUAGAUACCAUCAGGAACACCGAUAGCGAAGGCAUUGUACUGGCCAACAACUGACGCUGAUGCACGAAAGUGUGGGGAUCGAACAGGAUUAGAAACCCGUGUAGUCC